UUCAGACGAUGUAAGCAUGGUCCUACCAAG
Molecule: non-coding RNA, 30 nt
Filed under: Mus musculus (house mouse)
Lineage: Eukaryota; Metazoa; Chordata; Mammalia; Rodentia; Muridae
Source: RNAcentral